CCUACGGGAGGCAGCAGUGGGGAAUUUUGGACAAUGGGGGCAACCCUGAUCCAGCCAUUCCGCGUGAGUGAAGAAGGCCUUCGGGUUGUAAAGCUCUUUCGCAAGGGAAGAAAACUUAUGAUCGAAUAAAUCAUGAGGUUGACGGUACCUUGAUAAGAAGCACCGGCUAACUACGUGCCAGCAGCCGCGGUAAUACGUAGGGUGCGAGCGUUAAUCGGAAUUACUGGGCGUAAAGCGUGCGCAGGCGGUUUUGUAAGUCGGAUGUGAAAUCCCCGGGCUCAACCUGGGAACUGCGUUCGAAACUGCAAGGCUAGAGUGUGUCAGAGGGGGGUAGAAUUCCACGUGUAGCAGUGAAAUGCGUAGAGAUGUGGAGGAAUACCAAUGGCGAAGGCAGCCCCCUGGGAUAACACUGACGCUCAUGCACGAAAGCGUGGGGAGCAAACAGGAUUAGAUACCCUGGUAGUCCACGCCCUAAACGAUGUCAACUAGUUGUUGGUAGAGUAAAAUCUAUGAGUAACGUAGCUAACGCGUGAAGUUGACCGCCUGGGGAGUACGGUCGCAAGAUUAAAACUCAAAGAUUAGAGGCGNGAGAGAGCGACGACGACGACGACGGAGGAGG
RNAcentral lists this ribosomal RNA (619 nucleotides) under uncultured bacterium. RNAcentral describes it as "bacterial SSU rRNA". It matches the Rfam family "Bacterial small subunit ribosomal RNA", at positions 338 to 953 of the family's 1533-position model. The record is from RNAcentral.